RNAcentral lists this unclassified non-coding RNA (335 nucleotides) under soil metagenome. RNAcentral's name for it is "partial contains 5.8S ribosomal RNA, internal transcribed spacer 2, and large subunit ribosomal RNA". The stretch from base 1 to 120 matches the Rfam family "5.8S ribosomal RNA", at positions 35 to 154 of the family's 154-position model. The record is from RNAcentral.
GAUGAAGAACGUAGCGAAAUGCGAUAAGUAAUGUGAAUUGCAGAAUUCAGUGAAUCAUCGAAUCUUUGAACGCACAUUGCGCCCAUUAGCAUUCUAGUGGGCAUGCCUGUUCGAGCGUCAUUUCAACCCUUAAGCCCUGUUGCUUAGCGUUGGGAGCCUACAGUACUGUAGCUCCCCAAAGUUAGUGGCGGAGUCGGUUUCACACUCUAGACGUAGUAAUUUUUUCUCGUCUGUAGUUGAGCCGGUCCCCUGCCGUAAAACACCCAAUUUUUCAAGGUUGACCUCGGAUCAGGUAGGAAUACCCGCUGAACUUAAGCAUAUCAAUAAGCGGAGGA